AACAUAGCUUAACCAAAAGCACCCCGCUUACACCGGGAGAAUACCUGUGGAACCCAGGUUGUCUCGA
Molecule: transfer RNA, 67 nt
Filed under: Fritziana sp. 1 MLL-2018
Lineage: Eukaryota; Metazoa; Chordata; Amphibia; Anura; Hemiphractidae
Description: partial tRNA-Val
Source: RNAcentral